GAUGAACGCUGGCGGCGUGCUUAACACAUGCAAGUCGAACGAUGAAGCCCAGCUUGCUGGGUGGAUUAGUGGCGAACGGGUGAGUAACACGUGAGUAACCUGCCCUUAACUCUGGGAUAAGCCUGGGAAACUGGGUCUAAUACCGGAUAGGAGCGCCUGCCGCAUGGUGGGUGUUGGAAAGAUUUAUCGGUUUUGGAUGGACUCGCGGCCUAUCAGCUUGUUGGUGAGGUAAUGGCUCACCAAGGCGACGACGGGUAGCCGGCCUGAGAGGGUGACCGGCCACACUGGGACUGAGACACGGCCCAGACUCCUACGGGAGGCAGCAGUGGGGAAUAUUGCACAAUGGGCGAAAGCCUGAUGCAGCGACGCCGCGUGAGGGAUGACGGCCUUCGGGUUGUAAACCUCUUUCAGUAGGGAAGAAGCGAAAGUGACGGUACCUGCAGAAGAAGCACCGGCUAACUACGUG
Molecule: ribosomal RNA, 466 nt
Filed under: uncultured bacterium
Lineage: Bacteria
Description: partial 16S ribosomal RNA
Rfam family: Bacterial small subunit ribosomal RNA
Source: RNAcentral